AAGCGUGCGCAGGCGGUUAUAUAAGACAGAUGUGAAAUCCCCGGGCCUCAACCUGGGAACUGCAUUUGUGACUGUAUAGCUGGAGUGCGGCAGAGGGGGAUGGAAUUCCGCGUGUAGCAGUGAAAUGCGUAGAUAUGCGGAGGAACACCGAUGGCGAAGGCAAUCCCCUGGGCCUGCACUGACGCUCAUGCACGAAAGCGUGGGGAGCAAACAGGAUUAGAUACCCGGGU
RNAcentral lists this ribosomal RNA (230 nucleotides) under uncultured bacterium. RNAcentral describes it as "partial 16S ribosomal RNA". It matches the Rfam family "Bacterial small subunit ribosomal RNA", at positions 563 to 791 of the family's 1533-position model. The record is from RNAcentral.